Molecule: ribosomal RNA, 545 nt
Filed under: uncultured archaeon
Lineage: Archaea
Description: bacterial SSU rRNA
Rfam family: Archaeal small subunit ribosomal RNA
Source: RNAcentral
CAGCAGGCGCGAAAACUUUACAAUGCUGGCAACAGCGAUAAGGGGACCUUGAGUGCCAGGAUACAAUCCUGGCUGUCGUGAUGCCUAAAAAGCAUUAUAUAGCAAGGGCCGGGCAAGACCGGUGCCAGCCGCCGCGGUAACACCGGCGGCUCGAGUGGUAACCGCUAUUAUUGGGUCUAAAGGGUCUGUAGCCGGCUUGGUUAGUCUCUUGGGAAAUCCGGCAGCUUAACUGUCGGGCUUUCAGGAGAUACUGCCAGGCUCGAGACCGGGAGAGGUGAGAGGUACUUCAUGGGUAGGGGUGAAAUCUUGUAAUCCUUGAAGGACCACCAGUGGCGAAGGCGUCUCACCAGAACGGAUCUGACGGCAAGGGACGAAAGCUAGGGGCACGAACCGGAUUAGAUACCCGGGUAGUCCUAGCCGUAAACGAUACUCGCUAGGUGUCGGCCACGGUGCGACCGUGGUCGGUGCCGUAGGGAAGCCGUGAAGCGAGCCACCUGGGAAGUACGGCCGCAAGGCUGAAACUUAAAGGAAUUGGCGGGGGAGCA